This 444-nucleotide ribosomal RNA is filed under the name uncultured bacterium. Its description in RNAcentral is "bacterial SSU rRNA". It matches the Rfam family "Bacterial small subunit ribosomal RNA", at positions 331 to 792 of the family's 1533-position model. The record is from RNAcentral.
CCAGACUCCUACGGGAGGCAGCAGUGGGGGAUAUUGGACAAUGGGGGAAACCCUGAUCCAGCGAUGCCGCGUGAGGGAAGAAGGUUUUCGGAUUGUAAACCUCUGUGGACAGGGACGAUAAUGACGGUACCUGUCAAGAAAGCCACGGCUAACUACGUGCCAGCAGCCGCGGUAAUACGUAGGUGGCGAGCGUUGUCCGGAAUUACUGGGUGUAAAGGGAGUGUAGGCGGGAAGGCAAGUCAGAAGUGAAAAUUAUGGGCUCAACCCAUAACCUGCUUUUGAAACUGUUUUUCUUGAGUGAAGCAGAGGCAAGCGGAAUUCCUAGUGUAGCGGUGAAAUGCGUAGAUAUUAGGAGGAACACCAGUGGCGAAGGCGGCUUGCUGGGCUUUUACUGACGCUGAGGCUCGAAAGCGUGGGGAGCAAACAGGAUUAGAUACCCUAGUA